RNAcentral lists this ribosomal RNA (775 nucleotides) under Cladonia sp. RNAcentral describes it as "partial 28S ribosomal RNA". It matches the Rfam family "Eukaryotic large subunit ribosomal RNA", at positions 151 to 944 of the family's 3401-position model. The record is from RNAcentral. Lineage: Eukaryota; Fungi; Ascomycota; Lecanoromycetes; Lecanorales; Cladoniaceae.
UAGAGGAUGUUUCGGGUGCGACGCGGGUCUAAGUCCUUUGGAACAGGGCGUCAUAGAGGGUGAGAAUCCCGUAUGUGACCCGUGAUCAAGCCCAUGUGAAACCCCUUCGACGAGUCGAGUUGUUUGGGAAUGCAGCUCAAAAUGGGUGGUAAAUUUCAUCUAAAGCUAAAUACUGGCCAGAGACCGAUAGCGCACAAGUAGAGUGAUCGAAAGAUGAAAAGCACUUUGGAAAGAGAGUCAAAAAGUACGUGAAAUUGUUGAAAGGGAAGCGCUUGCAACCAGACCUGUCCGCAGGCGAUCAGCCCUCGUUCUCGGGGGUGCACUCGUCUGUGAUCAGGCCAGCAUCGGUUCGGGCGGUCGGAUAAAGGCCUUGGGAAUGUGGCUCCUUUCGGGGAGUGUUAUAGCCCUCGGUGCAAUGCGGCCAGCCCGGACCGAGGACCGCGCCUUCGGGCUAGGAUGCUGGCGUAAUGGUUGUAAGCGACCCGUCUUGAAACACGGACCAAGGAGUCUAACAUCUAUGCGAGUGUUUGGGUGUCAAACCCAUACGCGUAAUGAAAGUGAACGGAGGUGAGAACCCUUAAGGGCGCAUCAUCGACCGAUCCAGAUGUCUUCGGAUGGAUUUGAGUAUGAGCAUAGCUGUUGGGACCCGAAAGAUGGUGAACUAUGCCUGAAUAGGGUGAAGCCAGGGGAAACCCUGGUGGAGGCUCGCAGCGGUUCUGACGUGCAAAUCGAUCGUCAAAUUUGGGUAUAGGGGCGAAAGACUAAUCGAACCAUC